This 495-nucleotide ribosomal RNA is filed under the name uncultured bacterium. RNAcentral's name for it is "partial 16S ribosomal RNA". It matches the Rfam family "Bacterial small subunit ribosomal RNA", at positions 28 to 507 of the family's 1533-position model. The record is from RNAcentral.
GACGAACGCUGGCGGCGUGCCUAAUACAUGCAAGUAGAACGCUGAAGGCGGAGCUUGCUUCUCUGGAUGAGUUGCGAACGGGUGAGUAACGCGUAGGUAACCUGCCUGGUAGCGGGGGAUAACUAUUGGAAACGAUAGCUAAUACCGCAUAACAGUAGAUACCGCAUGAUAUCUACUUGAAAGGUGCAAUUGCUUCACUACUAGAUGCACCUGCGUUGUAUUAGCUAGUUGGUGUGGUAACGGCUCACCAAGGCGACGAUACAUAGCCGACCUGAGAGGGUGAUCGGCCACACUGGGACUGAGACACGGCCCAGACUCCUACGGGAGGCAGCAGUAGGGAAUCUUCGGCAAUGGACGGAAGUCUGACCGAGCAACGCCGCGUGAGUGAAGAAGGUUUUCGGAUCGUAAAGCUCUGUUGUAAGAGAAGAACGAGUGUGAGAGUGGAAAGUUCACACUGUGACGGUAACUUACCAGAAAGGGACGGCUAACUACGUG